This 337-nucleotide ribosomal RNA is filed under the name uncultured bacterium. Its description in RNAcentral is "bacterial SSU rRNA". It matches the Rfam family "Bacterial small subunit ribosomal RNA", at positions 88 to 423 of the family's 1533-position model. The record is from RNAcentral.
UGGGCGCGUGGCGGACGGGUGAGUAACACGUGGGUAAUCUGCCCUCAUGUGGGGGAUAACCCGCCGAAAGGCGGGCUAAUACCGCAUAACAUUCCGGGGACUUCGGUCGCUGGAAUCAAAGGUCGCAAGACCGCAAGAGGAGGGGCCCGCGCCCGAUUAGCUUGUUGGCGAGGUAAUGGCUCACCAAGGCUAUGAUCGGUAGCCGGUCUGAGAGGAUGGCGGGCCACACUGGAACUGAGACACGGUCCAGACUCCUAGGGGAGGGGCAGUGGGGAUUCUUGCGCAAUGGGCGAAAGCCUGACCCAGCAACCGGCGGGGGGGAUGAAGCUUCUCGGAG